GAUGAACGCUGGCGGCGUGCUUAACACAUGCAAGUCGAACGGGAAACCUUUUAUUGAAGCUUCGGCAGAUUUAGCUGGUUUCUAGUGGCGGACGGGUGAUUAACGCGUGGGUAACCUGCCUUAUACAGGGGGAUAACAACCAGAAAUGGUUGCUAAUACCGCAUAAGCGCACAGGACCGCAUGGUCCGGUGUGAAAAACUCCGGUGGUAUAAGAUGGACCCGCGUUGGAUUAGCUAGUUGGCAGGGUAACGGCCUACCAAGGCGACGAUCCAUAGCCGGCCUGAGAGGGUGAACGGCCACAUUGGGACUGAGACACGGCCCAGACUCCUACGGGAGGCAGCAGUGGGGAAUAUUGCACAAUGGGGGAAACCCUGAUGCAGCGACGCCGCGUGAAGGAAGAAGUAUCUCGGUAUGUAAACUUCUAUCAGCAGGGAAGAUAGUGACGGUACCUGACUAAGAAGCCCCGGCUAACUACGUG
RNAcentral lists this ribosomal RNA (478 nucleotides) under uncultured bacterium. Its description in RNAcentral is "partial 16S ribosomal RNA". It matches the Rfam family "Bacterial small subunit ribosomal RNA", at positions 28 to 507 of the family's 1533-position model. The record is from RNAcentral.